RNAcentral lists this ribosomal RNA (253 nucleotides) under uncultured bacterium. Its description in RNAcentral is "partial 16S ribosomal RNA". It matches the Rfam family "Bacterial small subunit ribosomal RNA", at positions 524 to 776 of the family's 1533-position model. The record is from RNAcentral.
UACGUAGGGGGCGAGCGUUGUCCGGAUUUAUUGGGCGUAAAGAGCGUGUACGCGGCCCGGUAAGUCCGCUGUGAAAGUCGAGGGCUCAACCCUCGAAUGCCGGCGGAUACUGUCGGGCUAGAGUCCGGAAGAGGCGAGUGGAAUUCCUGGUGUAGCGGUGAAAUGCGCAGAUAUCAGGAGGAACACCUACGGCGAAGGCAGCUCGCUGGGACGGUACUGACGCUGAGACGCGAAAGCGUGGGGAGCAAACAGG